GAGCACUGUUCGUAACCCGUCGCCUUGCUGUGGCUGGUGGUUCCAUUCCAGUGCUAUAGCAUUUCCAGUGACACAUGACUGACUGGCUGCUUGGUGGCUUUCAGUUUCAGGUCUUGGAGACAUAC
Nannospalax galili (Upper Galilee mountains blind mole rat) is the source of this 125-nucleotide small nucleolar RNA. The record is from Ensembl. NCBI's taxonomy places the organism in Eukaryota, Metazoa, Chordata, Mammalia, Rodentia, Spalacidae.